RNAcentral lists this transfer RNA (74 nucleotides) under Candidatus Woesearchaeota archaeon. RNAcentral's name for it is "tRNA-Val". It matches the Rfam family "tRNA". Rfam says of the family: Transfer RNA (tRNA) molecules are approximately 80 nucleotides in length. Lineage: Archaea; Nanobdellati; Candidatus Woesearchaeota. The record is from RNAcentral.
GGGCCGAUGGUUUAGCCUGGUAUAACGUCUCGUUGACGUCGAGGAGGUCCCCGGUUCGAAUCCGGGUCGGCCCA